Long non-coding RNA from Chenopodium quinoa (quinoa), 1177 nucleotides. RefSeq lists it as uncharacterized. The record is from RefSeq and is a predicted model, not a curated record. The transcript is spliced from 3 exons. NCBI's taxonomy places the organism in Eukaryota, Viridiplantae, Streptophyta, Magnoliopsida, Caryophyllales, Amaranthaceae.
CGUGGUACUAUUUACUCUUUUUUUUUUUUUUUUUCUUUCUUUUUUUUUUUGGACUGUAUAUACACGUUUCUAUUUUUAUAGUAUUUAUACUGAUUCUCAUUUGAUCUUUCUUCAAAUUAGGUUGAAAAUUUGGUGGAGUCGGAUUCUCGUUUGUGAAGGGUGUAUCAAAGGUGGUGUGGGAAUGGCAAGUGGAAGGUUCAAGGAAAAAGAAGGUGGUUAUUGGCAGUGUGAAUAAUGGUGCAGCUGUGAAUAAAUCAUAUGGCUAAAAGCAUCAAGUUGGUGAGAUACAGAAUAUGAUCAUUUGGAGAUUCAACGUUUUGACAAGUUAUCUAUUGAUUUCCAGUUUUGGAUUAUGAUGAUUGAAGUAAAUGUUAGUACACUCCUGUCCUCUACUUGUAUGUGUGAAGUUACUCUGUAUCAUGCAAUUGAGACAACUUUGUAGUUGCAUUUGGAAGACUAGGCACAUGUCCACAAAAGCCCCAAGAGGCCCUUAGAAGUUUGUAUUAGAACGUCCAUGUUACCAGAAGAAAAUUGUGUUGUAUUAGUUAUGCCGGAGACGAUUUGAGGGGAAAAUUUAGCCAUUGUCAGGGGCUUGUUUCAACUUUCAACAGCUACAUCUUGUUAUAACUGAUUGCUGUACAUCUACAUCCCUUUUCUAACGCUAUUUUUGAGCAGCAACUGGCCAAGAAGCAUUUUUUUCCUAGCAGGCAGUGUUUCUGGUCUUCAGUUGGUAGUUUUGGUCAUAAAGCUGAUUAACUCUGGAAGAUAGCUAAGACAGAAUUAAGUUAGAAUUCUACGGAGUACAAAAUUGCAGACGUACACACCAUAAAGCCCACGAUCCCCCUGGAAACAGUAUCAAUCUAGCAAGGAAACAUCAUAAAUUUUUCAUUUGUGUGGAAUACCUCUCAUGUAUCAAUCUUGUAAUUACCUCGUAUAUUUAUAUUUUCAUUUCAUUUUACAUAAGAAAUUUGUUGGGAAGCUUGCGCUGUUUUCAUAAUUUGUGCUUGUAGCAUCUCAUUGACAUUCUUGAGUGGAAUGGGAUGCUAUUUGCCGACUUAUAUUGCAUGUCGCAUCUUAUAAAUGAGAUUUUGUAGUCCUACGAAUCUGUUGAUUGUGUUCAGUAAGCAGUGGAAUGGUCUCCACAUUGUGCUGUCAAUGUACAUGUAUCUGGUGUCUA